GACGAACGCUGGCGGCGUGCUUAACACAUGCAAGUCGAACGGAAAGGCCCUGCUUUUGUGGGGUGCUCGAGUGGCGAACGGGUGAGUAACACGUGAGUAACCUGCCCUUGACUUUGGGAUAACUUCAGGAAACUGGGGCUAAUACCGGAUAGGAGCUCCUGCUGCAUGGUGGGGGUUGGAAAGUUUCGGCGGUUGGGGAUGGACUCGCGGCUUAUCAGCUUGUUGGUGGGGUAGUGGCUUACCAAGGCUUUGACGGGUAGCCGGCCUGAGAGGGUGACCGGCCACAUUGGGACUGAGAUACGGCCCAGACUCCUACGGGAGGCAGCAGUGGGGAAUAUUGCACAAUGGGCGGAAGCCUGAUGCAGCAACGCCGCGUGCGGGAUGACGGCCUUCGGGUUGUAAACCGCUUUCGCCUGUGACGAAGCGUGAGUGACGGUAAUGGGUAAAGAAGCACCGGCUAACUACGUGCCAGCAGCCGCGGUGAUACGUAGGGUGCGAGCGUUGUCCGGAUUUAUUGGGCGUAAAGGGCUCGUAGGUGGUUGAUCGCGUCGGAAGUGUAAUCUUGGGGCUUAACCCUGAGCGUGCUUUCGAUACGGGUUGACUUGAGGAAGGUAGGGGAGAAUGGAAUUCCUGGUGGAGCGGUGGAAUGCGCAGAUAUCAGGAGGAACACCAGUGGCGAAGGCGGUUCUCUGGGCCUUUCCUGACGCUGAGGAGCGAAAGCGUGGGGAGCGAACAGGCUUAGAUACCCUGGUAGUCCACGCUGUAAACGGUGGGUACUAGGUGUGGGGUCCACUCCACGGGUUCCGUGCCGUAGCUAACGCUUUAAGUACCCCGCCUGGGGAGUACGGCCGCAAGGCUAAAACUCAAAGGAAUUGACGGGGCCCCGCACAAGCGGCGGAGCAUGCGGAUUAAUUCGAUGCAACGCGUAGAACCUUACCUGGGUUUGACAUGGAUCGGGAGUGCUCAGAGAUGGGUGUGCCUCUUUUGGGGUCGGUUCACAGGUGGUGCAUGGCUGUCGUCAGCCCGUGUCGUGAGAUGUUGGGUUAAGUCCCGCAACGAGCGCAACCCUUGUUUACUGUUGCCAGCACGUUAUGGUGGGGACUCAGUGGAGACCGCCGGGGUCAACUCGGAGGAAGGUGGGGAUGACGUCAAGUCAUCAUGCCCCUUAUGUCCAGGGCUUCACGCAUGCUACAAUGGCUGGUACAGAGAGUGGCGAGCCUGUGAGGGUGAGCGAAUCUCGGAAAGCCGGUCUCAGUUCGGAUUGGGGUCUGCAACUCGACCUCAUGAAGUCGGAGUCGCUAGUAAUCGCAGAUCAGCAACGCUGCGGUGAAUACGUUCCCGGG
RNAcentral lists this ribosomal RNA (1343 nucleotides) under uncultured bacterium. RNAcentral's name for it is "16S ribosomal RNA". It matches the Rfam family "Bacterial small subunit ribosomal RNA", at positions 28 to 1378 of the family's 1533-position model. The record is from RNAcentral.